GGGGUUGUGGCUCACUGGUAGAGCGUACGCCUAGCAUGUGUGAAGCCCUGGGUUCAAUCCUCAGCGCCACA
This 71-nucleotide transfer RNA is filed under the name Marmota monax (woodchuck). Its description in RNAcentral is "tRNA.Ala". It matches the Rfam family "tRNA". Rfam says of the family: Transfer RNA (tRNA) molecules are approximately 80 nucleotides in length. Their secondary structure includes four short double-helical elements and three loops (D, anti-codon, and T loops). Further hydrogen bonds mediate the characteristic L-shaped molecular structure. tRNAs have two regions of fundamental functional importance: the anti-codon, which is responsible for specific mRNA codon recognition, and the 3' end, to which the tRNAs corresponding amino acid is attached (by aminoacyl-tRNA synthetases). tRNAs cope with the degeneracy of the genetic code in two manners: having more than one tRNA (with a specific anti-codon) for a particular amino acid; and 'wobble' base-pairing, i.e. permitting non-standard base-pairing at the 3rd anti-codon position. Lineage: Eukaryota; Metazoa; Chordata; Mammalia; Rodentia; Sciuridae. The record is from RNAcentral.